UUUGGACAAUGGGCGCAAGCCUGAUCCAGCCAUGCCGCGUGGGUGAAGAAGGCCUUCGGGUUGUAAGGCCCUUUCGGCUGGGACGAAAAGGUCCGUGCUAACACCACGGAUCCAUGACGGUACCAGCAGAAGAAGCACCGGCUAACUACGUGCCAGCAGCCGCGGUAAUACGUAGGGUGCAGGCGUUAAUCGGAAUUACUGGGCGUAAAGCGUGCGCAGGCGGUCUGCUAAGAGAGGUGUGAAAUCCCCGGGCUUAACCUGGGAACUGCGCUUCUAACUGGCAGGCUUGAGUGUGGCAGAGGGGGGUGGAAUUCCACGUGUAGCAGUGAAAUGCGUAGAGAUGUGGAGGAACACCGAUGGCGAAGGCAGCCCCCUGGGCUAACACUGACGCUCAUGCACGAAAGCGUGGGGAGCAAACAG
This 420-nucleotide ribosomal RNA is filed under the name uncultured bacterium. RNAcentral describes it as "bacterial SSU rRNA". It matches the Rfam family "Bacterial small subunit ribosomal RNA", at positions 363 to 775 of the family's 1533-position model. The record is from RNAcentral.